CCACCCUGAACAUGCCCGAUCUCGUCUGAUCUCAGAAGCUAAGCAGGGUAGGGCCUGGUUAGUACUUGGAUGGGAAGAAUGUCAUGUAGGGUAAGAGU
This is a non-coding RNA of Vicugna pacos (alpaca), 98 nucleotides long. Lineage: Eukaryota; Metazoa; Chordata; Mammalia; Artiodactyla; Camelidae. The record is from RefSeq and is a predicted model, not a curated record.